This is a long non-coding RNA of Zophobas morio, 581 nucleotides long. RefSeq lists it as uncharacterized. The record is from RefSeq and is a predicted model, not a curated record. NCBI's taxonomy places the organism in Eukaryota, Metazoa, Arthropoda, Insecta, Coleoptera, Tenebrionidae. The transcript has 2 exons.
UCCGACAAAAUUUGUGACACAAAUUAACGAGUAGCUGUUGCGACGAAAAUCACACGAGUCGACGAAGGAGACGAGUGUGAUUUUCCAAAAGCAACAGCUACGAGUUAAUUUUCACACAAAUUUUGCAGAAAAAAUCAGAUCACGAGUUAUAUUCGGCUUGACAAUCCAAAGAGAAAAUUUUUAUUUACUUUUUACGGACAAUAAUUCACAUAAUUUAUAGCGUAGUCGUUGAGUAACCAUACCUACUUAGUCUAAAUAGUAACAAAACAACAAGGCAAAACGUAAAUAAAUUUCUAAACAUCAAAUUUUGUGUGUGCUGCUGGUUGAUUUUCUUAAUUCUGGGAGCAAGAUUUGGUAACAAGACUGUGUAUGAAAUUCGAAAUGCAGUGAAAGAAAGUCAGUGCCGAAAGACCGCAAGAACGCAAGAUUCAAUUUGGAAGCAGUUUACAGAAUUUUCAGUCGAAAUGAACGAGGUGGCCAGUAUUUUGGAAGAUUAUGCCUUUAACGCCAACAGAAAAGUAAUUUGUAUGUUACAUUAUCAUUUUUUUAUUAAAGUUAAUUUGACAAGUUUGACAAAUUAA